This 433-nucleotide ribosomal RNA is filed under the name uncultured bacterium. RNAcentral describes it as "partial 16S ribosomal RNA". It matches the Rfam family "Bacterial small subunit ribosomal RNA", at positions 29 to 507 of the family's 1533-position model. The record is from RNAcentral.
AACGAACGCUGGCGGCAUGCCUAACACAUGCAAGUCGAACGAGACCUUCGGGUCUAGUGGCGCACGGGUGCGUAACGCGUGGGAACCUGCCCUUAGGUUCGGAAUAACUCCCCGAAAGGGGUGCUAAUACCGGAUAAUGUCUUCGGACCAAAGAUUUAUCGCCUUUGGAUGGGCCCGCGUUGGAUUAGCUAGUUGGUAGGGUAAAAGCCUACUAAGGCGACGAUCCAUAGCUGGUCUGAGAGGAUGAUCAGCCACACUGGGACUGAGACACGGCCCAGACUCCUACGGGAGGCAGCAGUGGGGAAUAUUGGACAAUGGGCGAAAUCCUGAUCCAGCAAUGCCGCGUGAGUGAUGAAGGCCUUAGGGUUGUAAAGCUCUUUUACCCGGGAUGAUAAUGACAGUACCGGGAGAAUAAGCUCCGGCUAACUCCGUG